UUUAAUUAUAAAGGAAAGAGAAAAAUACUGUGAACGUUUCCCACAAAAAUACAGUGCAAGUUUCCAUUCUAACAAUUAUUAUCUCUUCCUCUUUAUUAAGAUCAUGAACACAAGUCCAUAAAAUUUCUAUCCAAAAAAAAUAAAUCUUUCUCAUUUUCCUUUACACUGAAGAACAUCUUCAGUUAAUUUCUUUUAACACAAUUUUCAUGAAAGAUUAGGAGAAAUAUAAGAGUACAAAUCCAAAAAAAAAAAUUGAAGAAACAAAAAAAAAAUUACAAAUCUAUAUUCAGAUCCGUCGCGCAGUUGUAGAGCGCUGACUUCCAAUUAGAAGGCUGCAUGUUAGAUUCAAAUCGGGUUCAAAAAUUUCGAUCUAUCUUCGAUUAUGAGUUCUUUGUAAUAGUUGCCCAUUUUCUGAUGAAGAAGCAUUUGAAAUAUAUAAGAAAUGAUGUUGCGGCUGCUCGAAGAGACACAACUCUGUGAGUAAAACACACAUUAUUUUGAGAAAAGGUAUGACUGUUUGGAUGGUUGUGGCUGUUCAGAAAAGACACACUUUCUGAUGAACAGACAUGACUGUUCAGAAAGGAUACACCUUUCCGAUGAACCAUUGCCACCUUUUGAAAGGGGCACCUAAUGACUAUAUAAACCUGCAUUUUUCCACUGGUUUGGACACAGAUAUUUUUUUGCAUUAGAAAACUUCUUGCUUUCCGAAAUACUCUGUGUAAUCAUCUAAUUGUUGAGUGAGUUUAAAGAUAAUCUGAUCAUUUGAGGUACCACUACAAUCAGAUUAUUAGGCCAUUUUAUCUUGGAAGGAAAAUUCUGCAACCUCGGGUACUUGAGGGAAAUUAUUUUCUUAAGAACACUCUGUAAAGUCAAGGGACUUGGUCUUUUUUCUGUUUCAUCUAAUUUUCUGAAAACAGACUUCUUUGAAAGGUCAUUUUGAUUUUCUGUUGAAGGUGUUGCAUAAAUUCAUAAGUGUUCUUAUUUUAUACUUGAACUUUUGUUGAAGUUGUUGUGUCUAAACACAGAUUCUUGUGUACCCGUAAAACAACAAUCUUAAGAAAAUAAGUUAUUUUCAGAAUCUGUGUUGCUUGAUUUAUGGAGAUUAAAGAUUUAAGCUUUCUACUCCGUUUGAACUUAACUAGUGCUUUGAAGAAAUAAAAUCUUCAUCAUAAGUUAAAAAUCAUUGAAUUGUCGAUUGAAUGUCAUAAAAAUGUCAUCAUUAAACUAGAAACAAGGGGUGUUUAAAAUUGUUACAACUUUAUAAGUAGUAAUUCGAUAUACUAAAUUUACUGUCUUGUUGUGACAAAAAAAUGACUUCUAACAGUCAAGUGAAUGAUGCUGCAACGACUGUGGAACGAGUCGUAUGAGUGCUCCACAAGCAAUGUCACCAGCGGAGAAACCCAAAAAAUUCACGGGUGUUGAUUUCAAAAGGUGGCAAAAGAAGAUGUUCUUCUACCUUACAACUCUAUGUCAUCAAAGAUUCAUAUUUGAAGAAGCUCUAGAGGUGCCCAAGGAAAUUUGUCGUUAUGGAGGCGUGAAAAUACUUCAAUUUUCUAUGCAGGAAUUGCAUUCUAAAUGGCCUCUAAGAUGAGCUGUACAAUGUGUAUAGUGAAAUGUAGAUGGCAAAAGAAUUAUGGGCUGCACUAAAAAGAAAAUACAAAUCUGAGGAUGUUAGAACCAAGAAGUUCUUCGUUGCAAGAUUUCUUGAGUUUAAAAUGAUUGACAGCAAGUCUGUUGUAUCUCAAGUCCCAGAACUACGAGUUAUGAUCCACGAUAUCUUCUGUGAAGGUUUGGUUGUGAACGAGAGUUUUAAGUCACGACAAUAAUAGAGAAGUUACCACCUAUGUGGAAGGACUUCAAGAACUACUUGAAAUAUAAGCGAAAAGAGAUGACAGUUGAGGAUCUUAUAGUGAGAUUGCACAUUGAAGAACACAAAAAAGCUGCGAAAAGAAGGUCAAGAGGAAAUUUUGCAAUGAAUGGAGCAAACAUUGUAGAAGACGACCAAAAAAAUUCAAAAAAAGCGAUAGAAAGAUGGACAUGAAAGCAAUCAACCUAAGAAGAAGUUCAAGGGAAAAUGCUUUAAUUGUGGAAAGAUUGGCCACAAGUCAAUGGAUUGUCAUCCCUUAAAGAAAAGGAAAAAGAAGGACCAAGCAAAUAUGGCUGAAUCCAAGAAAGAAAUGGAUGAUCUAUGUGCCAUGCUGUCUGAAUGUAACUUGGUGGGAAAUCCUCGAGAAUGAUGGAUGGAUUCUGGUGCCACCUGACACAUUUUUGCAAAUAAGGAGUUGUUUGUUGUUUUUUCUCUGGCUCAAGGCAAAGAGAGGAUAUAUAUGGCCAACUUCGCAACUGCAAAAGUUGAAGGAAUAGGAAAAAGUCUGCCUAAAAAUAACAUCAGGCAAAGUGUUGACUUUGAACAAUGUCUUGUAUGUAUUGGAGUUACGGAAGAACUUGAUUUCUGUAUCACUUCUAGACAAAAAUGGAUUAAAAUGUGUAUUUGUUUCUAGAAAAAUUGUACUUAGUAAAGUAGAAGUGUAUGUAGGGAAAGGCUACCUCACUAAGGGCCUAUUCAAAAUAAAUGUAAUGAAGUUGAAAUCAAUAAAAGUUUAGUUUCUUCU
Molecule: long non-coding RNA, 2612 nt
Organism: Capsicum annuum
Lineage: Eukaryota; Viridiplantae; Streptophyta; Magnoliopsida; Solanales; Solanaceae
Exons: 4
Source: RefSeq, a predicted model, not a curated record